UGGGGGAUCUUGCGCUAAUGCGCGAAAGCGUGACGCAGCGACGCCGCGUGGGGGAUGAAGGCCUUCGGGUUGUAAACCCCUUUCGGCAGGGACGAAGGGAAACUGACGGUACCUGCAGAAGAAGUCCCGGCUAACUACGUGCCAGCAGCCGCGGUAACACGUAGGGGACGAGCGUUGUCCGGAUUCAUUGGGCGUAAAGCGCGCGUAGGCGGCUCGGAAAGUCGGGCGUGAAAUGCCGGGGCUCAACCCCGGGACUGCGUCCGAUACUUCCGAGCUGGAGGUAGGUAGGGGAGAUCGGAAUUCCUGGUGUAGCGGUGAAAUGCGCAGAUAUCAGGAGGAACACCGGUGGCGAAGGCGGAUCUCUGGGCCUUACCUGACGCUGAGGCGCGAAAGCUAGGGGAGCAAACA
RNAcentral lists this ribosomal RNA (408 nucleotides) under uncultured bacterium. RNAcentral's name for it is "bacterial SSU rRNA". It matches the Rfam family "Bacterial small subunit ribosomal RNA", at positions 355 to 774 of the family's 1533-position model. The record is from RNAcentral.